RNAcentral lists this ribosomal RNA (472 nucleotides) under uncultured bacterium. RNAcentral describes it as "partial 16S ribosomal RNA". It matches the Rfam family "Bacterial small subunit ribosomal RNA", at positions 29 to 507 of the family's 1533-position model. The record is from RNAcentral.
AACGAACGCUGGCGGCGUGCUUAACACAUGCAAGUCGAACGCUGCAGAAUGGUGCUUGCACUGGGGGGAGUAGUGCCUGACGACUGAGUCAUACGUGCGGAACCUCCCCUUGACACUGGGAUAAAUCCGGGAAACUGCGUUUAGUACUAGGUACGACAUGUUACGGCAUGGUGGUCGGUGGAAUGGGUUUUGGUGGUUUUGGAUGGGUUCACGGCCUAUGAGCUUGUUUGGGUGGUAAUGGCUCACCAACCCCACGAGGGGUAGCAGGCCUGAGCGGGUGAGCGGACACACUGGGACUGAGAUGAGGCCCAGACCCCUACGCGAGGGAGCAGUGGGGAAUAGUGCACAAUGGGCUGAAGCCUAAUCCAGCCCAGCCGCGUCAGGGAUGACGGCAUUCGCGUUGGAUACCUCUUUCCGCUCGCAAGAAGAGAAAGUGACGGUACGCGGAGAAGAAGCCCCGGCUAACUACGUG